Molecule: ribosomal RNA, 1054 nt
Filed under: Helminthosporiella stilbacea
Lineage: Eukaryota; Fungi; Ascomycota; Dothideomycetes; Pleosporales; Massarinaceae
Description: SSU rRNA
Rfam family: Eukaryotic small subunit ribosomal RNA
Source: RNAcentral
CAUGUCUAGUAUAGCAUUAUACCGUGAAACUGCGAAUGGCUCAUUAAAUCAGUUAUCGUUUAUUUGAUAGUACCUUACUACUUGGAUACCUGUGGUAAUUCUAGAGCUAAUACAUGCUAAAAACCCCGACUUCGGGAGGGGUGUAUUUAUUAGAUAAAAAACCAAUGCCCUUCGGGGCUCCUUGGUGAUUCAUGAUAACUUCUCAGAUCGCAUGGCCUUGCGCCGGCGACGGUUCAUUCAAAUUUCUGCCCUAUCAACUUUCGAUGGUAAGGUAUUGGCUUACCAUGGUUUCUACGGGUAACGGGGAAUUAGGGUUCGAUUCCGGAGAGUUAGCCUGAGAAACGGCUAACACAUCCAAGGAAGGCAGCAGGCGCGCAAAUUACCCAAUCCUGAUACAGGGAGGUAGUGACAAUAAAUACUAAUACAGGGCUCUUUCGGGUCGUGUAAUUGGAAUGAGUACAAUUUAAACCUCUUAACGAGGAACAAUUGGAGGGCAAGUCUGGUGCCAGCAGCCGCGGUAAUUCCAGCUCCAAUAGCGUAUAUUAAAGUUGUUGCAGUUAAAAAGCUCGUAGUUGAACCUUUGGCCUGGCUGGCAGGUCCGCCUCACCGCGUGCACUUGUCCGGCCGGGCCUUUUCUUCUGGAGAACCGCAUGCCCUUCACUGGGUGUGUUGGGGACCAGGACUUUUACUUUGAAAAAAUUAGAGUGUUCAAAGCAGGCCUUUGCUCGAAUAUUACAGCAUGGAAUAAUAAAAUAGGACGUGCGGUUCUAUUUUGUUGGUUUCUAGGACCGCCGUAAUGAUUAAUAGGGACAGUCGGGGGCAUCAGUAUUCAAUUGUCAGAGGUGAAAUUCUUGGAUUUAUUGAAGACUAACUACUGCGAAAGCAUUUGCCAAGGAUGUUUUCAUUAAUCAGUGAACGAAAGUUAGGGGAUCGAAGACGAUCAGAUACCGUCGUAGUCUUAACCAUAAACUAUGCCGACUAGGGAUCGGGCGGUGUUAUUAUUUUGACUCGCUCGGCACCUUACGAGAAAUCAAAGUGUUUGGGUCUGGGGGAG